RNAcentral lists this ribosomal RNA (313 nucleotides) under uncultured bacterium. RNAcentral's name for it is "bacterial SSU rRNA". It matches the Rfam family "Bacterial small subunit ribosomal RNA", at positions 28 to 321 of the family's 1533-position model. The record is from RNAcentral.
GACGAACGCUGGCGGCGUGCCUAACACAUGCAAGUCGAGCGGGAAAGUUCCCUUCGGGGAGCGAGUACAGCGGCGAACGGGUGAGUAACACGUAGGCAACCUACCCCGGAGACCGGGAUAACCUGUCGAAAGGCGGGCUAAUACCGGAUAAGACCACGAGGGCCUCGGCCCUUUGAGGUAAAAGGUGGCCUCUGCUUGCAAGCUAUCACUCCAGGAUGGGCCUGCGCGCCAUUAGCUAGUUGGNGUAGGUAACGGCUCACCAAGGCGAAGAUGGCUAGCUGGUCUGAGAGGAUGGCCAGCCACACUGGGACUG